GCAAAGUAGAAGCUGCUGCGUUAAGUGUGCGGGGAACGGGAAGUUGUCCCUGCAACGAAAAGCGGAAAAAUCCGUUUGCGGUGGCAGCUUCGCAUUCCGUUG
This 102-nucleotide non-coding RNA is filed under the name human gut metagenome. Its description in RNAcentral is "THF riboswitch". It matches the Rfam family "THF (Tetrahydrofolate) riboswitch aptamer". Rfam says of the family: THF riboswitch presents a pseudoknot that joins P1-P2 and the loop of P3 and two THF binding. The record is from RNAcentral.